UCCCCGGCAGUCCAGUGGUUAAGACACUGCGCUUGCAAUGCAGGGGUCACUGGUUCCAUCCCUGGUUGGGGAC
This 73-nucleotide transfer RNA is filed under the name Ovis aries (sheep). It matches the Rfam family "tRNA". Rfam says of the family: Transfer RNA (tRNA) molecules are approximately 80 nucleotides in length. Their secondary structure includes four short double-helical elements and three loops (D, anti-codon, and T loops). Lineage: Eukaryota; Metazoa; Chordata; Mammalia; Artiodactyla; Bovidae. The record is from Rfam by way of RNAcentral.